CGCCACAAUGUUUGACGCUGAUUGGCUCGCGCGCUGAAAUCGAGAAAACGUCGACUGGAUUUAUAAUUGGCGGCUUUUGCUGAGGUGCUUUGAGGAGUGUGUGAGUGUGACUUAACUAGCUACCAGUCAACAAUGUGUCCUUGGAAGUGACUUUUUAAUGUCUCUCGAAGAACAUUUGAGGUAUAUUGACAAUCCGGUAACUGAAAGUUUCCACCCCUGUGAUUGUGAGGAAGGAUUUUUGAGUUUGCAAUCGGGGAACGUGAGUCUUGAAACUGUCUAAUUCUUGAAAAUUUAGCUGUGGCCUGCUCUGCCCCCAAUGGCCAGCUAUGGCCCCAGGUGGCCAACUCAGCCCCAAGGGAUAAGAAUACUUCCUCGGGACAUUACCUGAAGCGUAAUAAGGAGAUGCACCGUGAUCCCAUCAGGGGGACCAGCAGGAUUGGCAGAAUUGUAGGACCAUUUGAAAUGAAGCGUGUGCUCUCUCUCUGCUGGACACCCAUCUGAGGUUGACGCACUCGGGGACUCUGCUUCGGUGAGUACUUUUUCUUUCCUGCAAUGUAGAGUUAACUUUCUGGUGGGGAAAUUUGGGAAAGCAGCCUAGUCUAAAUGGCGUGUGAAGUUGAUAGAGAUUACACUAAAAUGAACGAAUUUUAUUAGUCAUAUUAAAAAGUCUAUUUACAAAUCAAAAAAUAUAUAUAUUAGCGUUCAUUUUUAAAUACAAGAACUAAACCUUACUACUAUUCCAAAAUCUCAAGUCUAUAUACAGUACAACUGAGCCACUAGACACGAACUGAAUAAAAUUCCUCACAGUUACGUUUGCUUUGUAAAAAUACGAAUGAAAACUUCAAAUCCAGUUACACGAGCGUAGAAUAAACUAGCGUCCCUCUCCAUCCGCCUCCCCACACGAACGGCGGAACAGUGAUUGGCGAUUUAGUAAUAUUUACGGCGCGAAAUUCCGUGCGUGUGAAGGAAGGUGUAAUGAAACUAUUAUAAAGGCAGCACGAGAGGUGAGAAUAAGCCACUUACUAGCAUCCAUUAACAACAAUGCCAGCAGUAAUCCUGCGGCUAAUCUCAUUAUAUUCGUAGCCUCGCGUCAGGAAACUUUUUAAAAAUACAUUUCUCUAAAACCACAAAAGUAUUUUUUGGGAAUGGGGGGAAAAAAAGGCGAGGGGGAGGGGGGAUGGCGAGGACUUUUACCACGCCUUUUCUGCCUCGCACGGCACUCAGCAUGUUAAUUAAAAGUUUUAAGUCAGCACAAACGUAGCCCCUUUGUUUUGAGCGGCCGGUUGGUCUCUUUCCCGCCACCUCUCGCGGCCUUCCAGGGCCAACUACAAUAUUUUAUUUCUGUACGUGAUGCUCAUACUGCGGUCCAUAUUUGUCGGAAGGUUGAGUUUGUCAUGCGGUGUAUUUAGUUUACCUUUCUAUAUAUGUAUAAAUUGUGCAGUCAGUACAAGUGGUGUCAAGGGUGAUCAGUUUCAAAGGAUAAGUGCCAGUGGAUCAUCAUAAGAGCAAGUGGAGAGUCAAGGGGUCAGUGCCAGUCAUUAGGAGUGUCCGGAGCCGCAGUGGCACCGCCGGAGGUCAUUGGAAGGUGGUCGAGUAGUCACGGGUCGUCAGAACAAUGAGGGAGAAGGUGGUGCUCUGAUUCAUCAUUGUUGCCACUGAACCGAAGUCUGUCGAGUCAGUGAGGCAUUCUGGGAGGUGUGGACGACAGGUGGAACCCAGAGAAGGAAGUGUUAAAGGGAGGGAUCGAGGGGAUAGCUGGGAAGGGCCGUAAGGAAGGAAGGAGUGGGGAGGAGAGAAGUGGAAUGGGAAAGGAAGAGAGGAGGGUGCAAGGGUUGGAGGAGAGGGACGGCAGUAAACACAAGAGCGGCGAAGGGAAGAGAGUCGGGAGGAGAGAAGGAAAGGUAAUUGGGGGAGGGCGAGGGUUGAGGGAGAAGUAAUGAAGAAGCGAAGGGACUUACAGAAUGAUUUGUAUAUUUCUCCAGCGCCGAAACACGGUCAGUGGUGCCUUAUUAUCUAAUGUCAACCGCUGGGAUUGGUGCACAAAUGUCCGACUGACUCCCCAGCAGGAGUCAAACCGGAGGGAGUAGGUCACAGUGGACCACUGGACUGCAUUUUAGAGGACGAAACGCUAUUUCCAACAUGCGAUAUAGUCAUGCUGGCUUUGUACCUCAUAUAUUGAAAAGGUGUUGCUCAAAACGCACAAAACUAUCAUCCUGUCGUCGUACUACACAAUCCAGGACUGCAAAAAAGUUGGAACUCUGUAUAAGGGAAGAAACAGGGAGGUAGAGAGGGGACUAUGUAGCACAGGAGAGGGUGAUGGCAAUUAAAAAUAGAAAGUAGAGGGGGGGGAAGAGGUGAGAUAAGAUUAGAACGGCAGAUUAAGGAAAAUAAGAGGAUUCACUUAAGGACUGU
Long non-coding RNA from Procambarus clarkii (red swamp crayfish), 2412 nucleotides. RefSeq lists it as uncharacterized. NCBI's taxonomy places the organism in Eukaryota, Metazoa, Arthropoda, Malacostraca, Decapoda, Cambaridae. The record is from RefSeq and is a predicted model, not a curated record.